AUUGAACGCUGGCGGCAUGCCUUACACAUGCAAGUCGAACGGCAGCACGGGGCAACCUGGUGGCGAGUGGCGAACGGGUGAGUAAUGCAUCGGAACGUACCUUUCAGUGGGGGAUAACGUAGCGAAAGUUACGCUAAUACCGCAUACUCUGUGAGCAGGAAAGCAGGGGAUCGCAAGACCUUGCGCUGAUUGAGCGGCCGAUGUCAGAUUAGCUAGUUGGUGAGGUAAAGGCUCACCAAGGCGACGAUCUGUAGCGGGUCUGAGAGGAUGAUCCGCCACACUGGAACUGAGACACGGUCCAGACUCCCACGGAAGGCAGCAGUGGGGAAUCUUGGACAAUGGGGGCAACCCUGAUCCAGCCAUGCCGCGUGAGUGAAGAAGGCCUUCGGGUUGUAAAGCUCUUUCGGCCGGGAAGAAAUCGCACGGGCUAAUACCCUGUGUGGAUGACGGUACCGGAAUAAGAAGCACCGGCUAACUACGUGCCAGCCGCCGCAGUAA
RNAcentral lists this ribosomal RNA (498 nucleotides) under uncultured bacterium. RNAcentral's name for it is "partial 16S ribosomal RNA". It matches the Rfam family "Bacterial small subunit ribosomal RNA", at positions 30 to 523 of the family's 1533-position model. The record is from RNAcentral.